UACUAAGUGACUAAUGUUCGACACUAAUGUAUGUUAUACGGAAAUCUUUCGAUAAUACAAACAUGAUCCUUGUUACAGGAAUGAUCGUCACACAGAAGAAAGGGAUGCAGUGAUGCAGCUUGGGCCUGAAGCUCCGGAGCCUGAGUACCGGAUAGAGACAACACUAGAGGACAACACCACCGACAUCGACGUCCCCGAAGGCCUCUACGCCAGCGUUAACAAGUCCGGGAUCGUACGGCAGUCGUCGUCAAGCGGAAAUGAAGUAGGCACCAGCACCACCACCCUGAAAGACUGCACGGCACUCCUGUGAGGGACCAGAGCCCACAAGGCUGGCUGUCAGUGUCCAAAUGUCACGUACAUCAGUAAACAACAAACAUGGAAGAAACAACACUUAGCCACCACCGCCAACUUGGACCUGUAGCCGCUGACGUCGUCACUUUCCCUCCAGCUAUUGAGAAAAUAUCCGAUGGUCGUACAGCCGGGGACGUGCUGCAGGGUGGAGCUUAGUUUUCAGGAGAUAUUUUCAAAUUGUUAUCUUCCAUUUUAUACUCUUAUGUACAUAUGAAUGCCAUAUAAACGUGGGGUAUAUAACGUACCUGUUGAUUGUCAAUGUGGUUCCUAGAUACUUUACAUAUUCUCUGACAACACUGACUAUAGUCAUGUUCUUUUUACACUGGAAUAUUAACGCAUACAAGACGGGCGUCACAAUGUGCCAAAACGUGUACCGUUACUAUAUAGAAUAUCAACGUUCGCCCGUAGGAGAGGUGUUCAUCGAUAAUAGUAUACUUUGGAUCAGCAUUACAAGUAACUGAAAGAGCAAAUGAUAUAUGUUCUCCAUUAACACCAGACGGUGGAAACAACAAAAGUGUCCUCGUUUAAGUCGUGGGAGGCCCAAUGACGCAUAGUUUCCUCAGACGCAAUACAGAAAUACAGUCAAUGACAGAGUAUGUAUUUUGUUAUGAAGGUAUAAUAUAUUUCCGUUGUCGGCCAUGUCGGUCCAUCCUGUUGCUACGUUACUAAAUAUAUUCGUUAUACAAACGAUUGGACGUUUACACAGAUCUGAACAGUAUUUGUUGCAUGUGAUACGAUGUUGCAUUAAGCCUAUCUCUGAAGGUAAGCCUGUCUGUGACGGUAGUCCUGUCUGUGACGGUAAGCCUGUCUGUGACGGUACCCGUGUGUGACGGUAAGCCUGUCUGUGGCGGUAAGCCUGUCUGUGACGAUGGGACGUGUGUGAUACAGGGGAGGUACCUAUACUUUGCUGGGUAACAAGUAUUGUCAUAAUUGCCUGUACAGUUAAUAAACAGUGUGUGGCGUUGGUGACCAGACUGUUGACGUUUUUCGUACAGAUUGUCGACAGUUUGUUGUACAGAUUGUCUCCUGUUUGUGUACAGACUGUCUGCUGUUUGUGUACAGACUGUCUACUGUUUGUGUACAGAUUGUCUCUACUGUUUGUGUACAGAUUGUCUAUUGUUUGUGUACAGUUUGUUUACUGUUUAUGCACAAGCCUUCCCAACAAACAUGCGUACUGUCUACAUUUCGUACGAUGUUGAUUUUUGUACGUUUCCAUAUUGUACAUAUCAUUUUCAAAUAAACUAUGCAGUUUUUGUA
Haliotis rubra (blacklip abalone) is the source of this 1608-nucleotide long non-coding RNA. RefSeq lists it as uncharacterized. The record is from RefSeq and is a predicted model, not a curated record. The transcript is spliced from 4 exons. NCBI's taxonomy places the organism in Eukaryota, Metazoa, Mollusca, Gastropoda, Lepetellida, Haliotidae.